CAGAAUUGAACUUCAUGUUUAUUUUUUAGAAAAUUAAAUACAUUGACAAUAGGCCGUUCUAGCUAUAUUUUCUCUCAUGUGUGUGGGGGUGCGUAUAAUUUUCUUGGCCUGUUUAAGGAACAGUGGGACAACUGAAAUCUUUGCUUUUGGAGUUACUAACUAAAUCUAGGUCACAUUAUAGCGUGGCUUUAUCAUUGUUCUGCACUCAGUCAAUGAUUUCUUUGUCUUGUCUUACGAACGCCUGGUUAAUCUUGUCGGAACGCAUGCGCAUCAGGUAUAACGCUUCAACACACUUGCGCUUCAUAAACGGGCAAAAUUUUGGUAGUAUUUACCAGUUUGUGAGAAGUAAAAAAGCAGGCAAGAUGUCUUACGGUCAAGAGAGAGAGUACGGUCGGGGCGGCGGCGGUGGUAGCCGAGGUUAUCCUGGAGGAGAUGGAGGUGACAAAUCUACUUUCUAUGUUGAUCAGCAACAUGUUGGAAGAAUCAUUGGAAAAGGUGGAAACAGAAUUCGCGAUUUGCAGGAUGAAAGUGGGUGCCAAAUUAAGAUUGAAAGCCGAAACAGUGAUAGAGAGGGGCAAGCUCGAGUUGAUUUACUUGGUGAUUCAAGCUCACAGUCGGCUGCCCGUAGUUUGAUACAAGACAUAUGCGAUCAACCCCCUAGAGAAGGUGGAGGAGGAGGAUACAGAGGUGGUGGCCGAGGAGGUGGCGGCGGCAGAGAUAGAGGAUAUGGGGGUGGACGUGAUGGCGGAUAUGGGGGUGGACGUGAUGGCGGAUAUGGGGGUGGACGUGAUGGUGGAUAUGGGGGUGGACGUGACGAUAGGGGAUAUGGAGGAGGAGGCGGCGGUGGCCGAUACAACAAUGGAGGUGGCUGGGGAUCUUGAAGUGAUCCGUCUCCUCUUUAAAGUAGUGGUUAUUCAUAUGCCAGUACAAUUCUUUUAAAAACACUUAUUGACUACCACAUUGAAAUCUUUAUACCCUGUUGACUGCCCGUGAUGUUCUUGACAUCUGAUUCCAUGAUUUUGUUUCCGAACCUUGAGCCCUCGAUAAUUUGAAUGUUGUGGGUUAUUGUUUACUGGCCUGCGACUUAUGAAGUCAAUAUAUUUUAUCCUAUAUGAGUAAUUACCUAGAUCUACGGUUUAAACUAGACAAUGCGUAGAGUAUUUUAGUGAUACAUGAAUUGAACUAUUGUGUGUGUUGUCGACAUAUUCACAACUGUUUUAUGAUUGCCUAUUAUCGAUUUUCAUCUUGUAUUUAAUGAUUACCUGUCGACUUUGCCUAGAACUUUAAUGAUUGCCUGUCAACUUAAUCCCAGACCCUGAUCCUAAUAUGACUGUCAACAUUUGCCCGUAACUAAAUAAUGGACCAUGUAUAUAAGAUUACUUGAAUACUGACUUCCAAAUUGAGGUGAUCGAUACAUCUUCACUUAAUGUAUGAUAAAACUGAAACUUUGAAUAUUGUGCCUCAAGAAAGAAUUAACUUGAAGAGGUUUUGAUUUUGCCACUUGCUAAUACAUGUGCUCGAAUUUUAUGUAAUAUUUAUGAACAGUGACUUGAACUUGACCAUAUUGAAACUUGUACAUUUGUAUCAUUAUCAUACCAUUUUUCAUGAACUAUUGCCUGCCAUUGUUUACAUUGAUCGCAUUUGAAAUUGAUAAAAUUGACUUGGGUGUGUGAAUUUGAAAACAUACAGACAAUACAAGUGCUCAUCUGUCCAUACUGCGUGGUCGCCAUUGUCUACCUUUUUUUAUCGGCAUAAUCUUGAUGAACUGAUGUAACAUCCUGAAAACAUAACUUGCCCAUUGACUUUGUUUUUCAUGAUGUGGACUAUUUACAUCGUUGAUAAUUUGAUUGUGGGAACAACCUUAUUUCACCAUUUUGUACUAAGUGUGAUUCACCUUCCUUUAAUAUAACACAAUGGGAAGUGUGUUAACAUGCUGUGAUCUUACACUAGUAAUAAUACCCAGGGUGAUAUUUGAGAUAUUGUAUAUUAUGCUAAUCCAACGCGAGCUUGACCUGACAUUAUUGACUGUUUUUAAACUGGAACCCUCCUCAUGAAUGUUAUCAGUAUUUAGUUAAGACUUAUUUGAACCAGUGCUGCUAUAUUUUAUUUACUGAAUUAUAAUGAACUUGAAUUGAAUCGUAAUAAACUGAAUACUAAAGUGGUAAA
Molecule: long non-coding RNA, 2166 nt
Organism: Patella vulgata (common limpet)
Lineage: Eukaryota; Metazoa; Mollusca; Gastropoda; Patellidae
Exons: 2
Source: RefSeq, a predicted model, not a curated record